UCGUAACAAGGUUUCCGUAGGUGAACCUGCGGAAGGAUCAUUACUGUGAUUUACUACUACACUGCGUGAGCGGAACGAAAACAACAACACCUAAAAUGUGGAAUAUAGCAUAUAGUCGACAAGAGAAAUCUACGAAAAAACAAACAAAACUUUCAACAACGGAUCUCUUGGUUCUCGCAUCGAUGAAGAGCGCAGCGAAAUGCGAUACCUAGUGUGAAUUGCAGCCAUCGUGAAUCAUCGAGUUCUUGAACGCACAUUGCGCCCCUCGGCAUUCCGGGGGGCAUGCCUGUUUGAGCGUCGUUUCCAUCUUGCGCGUGCGCAGAGUUGGGGGAGCGGAGCGGACGACGUGUAAAGAGCGUCGGAGCUGCGACUCGCCUGAAAGGGAGCGAAGCUGGCCGAGCGAACUAGACUUUUUUUCAGGGACGCUUGGCGGCCGAGAGCGAGUGUUGCGAGACAACAAAAAGCUCGACCUCAAAUCAGGUAGGAAUACCCGCUGAACUUAAGCAUAU
RNAcentral lists this unclassified non-coding RNA (509 nucleotides) under Pichia kudriavzevii. RNAcentral describes it as "sequence contains 18S rRNA gene, ITS1, 5.8S rRNA gene, ITS2, 28S rRNA gene". The stretch from base 148 to 300 matches the Rfam family "5.8S ribosomal RNA". Lineage: Eukaryota; Fungi; Ascomycota; Pichiomycetes; Pichiales; Pichiaceae. The record is from RNAcentral.